UAGAGAUGGGGUUUCACCAUGUUGGCCAGGAUGGUCUCGAUCUCUUGACCUCGUGAUACACCCACCUUGGCCUCCCAAAGUGAUGGGAUUACACGCAUGAACCACCAUGUCCGACCACCAUCCCCCCUCAUUUACAGGUCUUUCCUGUUGUCUCAUUGGAGUUCUAGAGAUCUUUAUUAUAAUGCAUUGUUCUGCUGUCAUCUUUUUUUUGGUCUCUUUAGUAAGAGAGAAUAGAGAGUGAGUGGGUGUCUACCUAGUAGUCUAUCCUGCAAAUGGAGUAUUACAAAUCAUUAAGUAGAGUGGACAUGUUAAUGGGAAAAGACCAAUGUGCAUAAUGCAUUGCCAACAAAGUUACUGUAACAUACAAGAACAGCUGUCUCUACUACUGAAGUUAAUUAUAUUCACUAGCAAUGGUGAGAAUUAUGUCCAUGCUAUCUCAAAUCAUGAAUUAUUUGCUUUGAAUUUGUUUUACUGCUUUGAAUAGUAGUUUGCAACUACUAUUAAAAAAAUCAAUACAGUGUGAGUAUCUAAAUAAUAGAAAUAUCCGUUGUAAAGAAUAAGAUACUGGGAGUCAGGAAUGUUUCCAACAUGCCUUGUUAUCUUGACCCUCGAGGGAUUGCAAUCUCUCACCGGCUUCAGUGGUGUGCAUCUUUCAUUGGGAUAAAAUCACAGGUUUAUAAGGCUCAUUAGGAAAGGAAGGAUCCAAAGUGUGUAGAACAAGCUUGCCCGUACGCAGUCCAGGACAGCUUUGAAACCGGCCCAACACAAAUUUGUAAACUUUCUUAAAACAUUAUGUGAUUUUUUUUAAAGCUCAUCAGCUAUUGUUAGUGUUAGUGUGUUUUAUGUGUAGCCCAAGACAAUUCUUCUUCCAUUGUGGCCCAGGGAAGCCAAACGAUUGGACACCUCUGAUGUAGAACAUUAGUCUGAGAAAUCACUUGUCAGAAGCAUGGGAUUUUAACCCAAGAAAAAUUACCUCUUAGUGGCCUGAGGUGGCUUAGUGAGCUAUUCCCACUUUGCUGUCAUGGGAACUAUGAAUCACAGUCUCAGAGUCUACAUAAAAACCUCACAAAUCUGUGGAAAUCUGCUUAAUAAAGACAUAAUAAGCUGGACCUGUUUACUUUUAAGAAUUCACCAAUAUAAUGACUUGCCACAUAUGCAGAUGUUACCCUCAGAUGAUAAUGGAGGACUGUUUUGCCAAAACUGAUAAGAACAUUGUGCACAUAUGUUUGGGCCUAAAAAGAUCACUUGUUAUUAAUAUUAACAAAGAUAGCCAAAGUCUUUAGUGUUUUGUUUGUAAAAUCUCUUGCUUCAUUGAGAGCUAUGAGAUGUCAUUAUUUUUCUUAUUCACUCAACUCAUGCAGUUAAACAAACAGACUUACGUAGCACAAACAUGAAACAUUACUUUUUAGGCUAUCCCAAAUUGUUUAACAUAUACAAUAUGCCAGGCCUGUGGUAGGUACUAGAGAGUCAAAAAGACUCAAUCCCUGCCUUUAGAGGCUCACAUCUUCUGGGGAGAAAGGCGAUUUCACUGCCACAGAUUUCAAUGGUAACACAAGAGAAGAAUGACUCAUUUCAACUUUUGUAAUCGGGGAAGGCUUCCGGGAAACCAGUGGAGAAAAACAGGGAAAAAAAAUAUCAGGAAAAGAGUAAGCAAUCACACAGAUCAUGGAAUAUAGAAGGUGGGUGGACUCUGCCAGUCCUGACCUCAGGAGGUUUCUAUCUAGUGGAGGAGGCAGAAACAUAAAGGGAGACUGGACUGCAGUAUAGUGGUGAGCCCAUCGGUAGGGUUCAGCAUAGGGAGUUAUGCGUGCACACUGCUAGCACAUCUAAGAGAGAGCCCACCCAAGGCCUCUGAGUGUAAGCAACAGCAAUGCUGCCUUGAAUACUGAGCAGGAGUUCACCAGUGGGAAAGAAAGGACAUUUCAGGCACACAUGGACAAAACAUGAACAGAUAUACAGGCCACCUGCUGGAAAGGUAGUUGAGGGUGGGGUGAGACUGGAACAAUAUUUACUUGGCAUGGCUGCAGCUCUAGAUGCAAGAUACGGGGCUAAAGGGAGUGACAAAGGAAGACUCUGGUGGGCUUUGUAAGUGAAACUGUGAGAAGUAGGGCAGUGGCAGCAUUAAUUGAGGGAAGGAUGGACCUAGAAAUCCUGAAGAGGUCAAAUCAGCUGUGCCCUCUGACUGAAUGUGAAGGAUGAAGGAAUGGAAGGAUCCAAGGUUUUAAGAUGAGGCAGAAAGGCAACUGUGUUAAGGUAAAUGCCACGACAGAUGGAAUCACAGGGAACCCACCACAAGCUGGUGAGGUGAGAGCCUCAGCAGGGUUCUGGAAAGGUGUGCUGGGCAGGAUGAGCCCGGAAGGAGGGGAGUCAGUCAGGUGAGGGAAUGGGGGGUUGGAAGAGGCCACUGAAGCAAAUGAAUGGCAUGAGCAGAGGCAGGAGGCUGAAGAGCACACGCUGGAGGACUGCCAGUCAUUCAGAAUUACUGUCCCUUACCUUCUGGAAACAUUUCUCUGUGUGAGGGGCGUGGUGGUUAAGAGUGCAUCUAGGAUCAGAUGAUUCAGGUUCACAAUCAGUUGGCCACUUAUAAGCUGUGUGGCCUCAGGCAAAUUAGUUGAGUCCCCAGUGCUUAAGGCUUGUAACACUUGCCACCCAGAAAUGAAAAUAACAUCUACCUCUAGGAUUGUUGUGAGCUCUUGGAAGAGAGCUUUGCACACAGGUUAGCUAGUAUUAACAGCAAUAGUACUAGUGAUCAUGGUAGUAGAAUUUACUUGGGCUUUCUUACUAACAGGAACUUACCACCAGGUCUACCUUCCAAGUCCACUGCCCCUUCCCUACCUCCCUUUUCUCACCCUGAAACCGCCUUUGCAAAAAUUAUAUCAGUUUGAAUGUUGUGGCAGUGGGGGAGAUCUGAUCUAGCCAACCCAACUCCCCAUUCCUUGCCUUUAGUUUUCAAGCUACCUUAAUUAUUCCUGGGCUUAGGUCUAGCUAACAUUGGAAGAUAUUUAAGUUAUAGUUUAAAUGAGACUAAUGAGACCAUCAGGCUAGGGGAAGGAAAGGAACCUGAAUUCUGUUAAUAGGCUGGUCACAAGAUAUGCAACUUCCCCAAUUACUCCUGCAAAUAACAUCACCAGUGUAGAUUGGCCUUUUGAGAUAUGUUUUCAGGCUUUUUGCAUGUCUGACACUAACGGCUCCACCUGGUCCUGCGAAAUUGCUCCUGUGGCCCCACAGAGGAGUGACUCAGCUCAAGAGUUCAGCUUUGACUCCCUGUGAUUUCAUCUCCACCCCCAAAAAUCAGCAGCAAGCACCCAUUUCCUAGCCACUUCCACCCCUUCCCCUAAACUGCCUUUGAAAAAUCCCUAACCUAUGAGUCUUCUAUGGGAUUGAUGUGAGUAAUAACUUUGUCUACCGUGUGGCAUGGGCAGCCACACAUCAAUUAAACUCUUUCUUUACUUCAGUGCCAUGGUCUUUAUUUGUGCAGUGGGCAGGAAGAACCUGCUGGGUGGUUACAACUUCAUCCUCUCCACAAUCAUAGAAUAACCAAAAGAUCAUGCUUUAUAACAUGACAUUUUAAUUCUGAAAAUGUGUUGGACACCUCAGGCUGCAUCACAAAUAUCUCAACUUCCUGUUCUGUUACCCAAUUCACUUCUUUUUACUUUUCUCAAAUUUUACUAUCUCCUUUCUCCAGAACUACUCCUAAAAUAUUCAUCUGUAAACAAACUUAAACCAACAGAGAUAAGGAAAAGGCAUAAAAAAUAUUUAUUUUUAUCCAAGAAGAACUGGCUCGGGUACUGGUGUUUCAGAGGGAAUUACCAUGGAUAAGUAGCUUGUUAGAAUGCUCAUUCUUUUGCCUAAAUCUCUAACUCUGCUACUCCAACUGCUUAAUUUAUUCUUAGGGGGAAGAGAUGCCAUACCCUAGUUCUUCAUUUGGAUUAAUCAUUUUCUAGCUUGACUGCCUCAGUUGCACAGACUGUCAGCUCUCUCACUUUUUCUUUUGCAGAACAGAUCCUUUUCUUUAACUUUCAGACAUUUUUCUUUUUGCAGAGGUUGCUCAAUUACACGUGAAUGUAUAUACAUGUAAACAAAGAUGACAUAAGUAUUUGUUAAUACAAAUUUAAAAAAAUAAUGCUUGAAUAGUUGUCAUAUUCUCUGUUUUAACAAUGGUAGUGAAAGGAGGCAGAAGUUAGGAGAAACACCAAUUUGCAAAAUAUGAGAAUGUUUCAACUACACUAAGGUUUCUGCUGAUGGCCUUAUUAAAGUUGUACAGUUGGAAUCGGGUGGGGUGUUCAUAACAACUAUGGCAUAACGAUGGUCCCCAAAAUCUUGUGCUCAACUUUUUGAUGGCUCGUCCUCUGUCUGGGACCUGCUUGGGAACAGGUUUGGUAUUUCUCUUUCAGCCAAGUCUGCCUUUCGCUGGUGCUUUCCUACACUGUGUCUUUAUCACAGUGGGUAUUUCUUUUCAUCAGAGUCUACCUCAUCAUCUUCAGAAAGCUUACUUUAAAAAAUUUUAUAGUUCGCCCUUUUUCUUCAUAUUUUUUAGAAUGUGACUUCAAUUUCAUUUUUAAAAUUUCCUAUGUAGAUAUGCUUUUAUACAUUAAUUUUCUCUUUUUCCUUUGAGAAAACAAGACUCUGAAAAAAGAAAAGUUAUCAAGUGCUGACAGGGAAAAUACUAUUUUUCUCCCAUUAAAAUAAAGAUACCAAGACGCUUAAGACCAAAAAAAAAAAAAAAGAAACCACUAUUAAUCUUACAAGGAUUUAGAAGGUAAUACUCCAUAAAUACUUAGAAAGCAAAUUAUUUUUGAAUUCUACUUUUCCAGAUGGACCCAGUGGGAUGUGCCUGUAUUCCCAGGUACUUGGGAGGAUGUGGCCGGAGGAUCACUUGAGCCCAGGAGUUUGAGGAUAUAGUGAGCUAUGAUCACGCCUGUGAAUGGCCACUGCACUUCAGUCUGAGUAACAUAAGGAGGCCCUGUCUGUAAAAAACAAAACAACUACUCUGGCCUUAGAAUCUUGAGGAAUUCAGUAGUGAACUCAAUGGAAAACGGAAAUGAAUUCAACAACUAUUUAUCGAGGCUUCUUAUGGAUAAGACAUUGUGCUAAAUUCUGUGGGGGCUGUACAAAUAUAUAUACAAGAUAUACAAACUGCCCUCCAAAACUAAAUAUUUUAGAGAUGAUAUACCAUGAAAAAUAACUCUUGUACUAGACAUGUAGAGAAAAAUGCCAUGAGAAAGCAAGAAAGCAAAUGGCUAAUUAACACUAGGAUGAACUUAAAAGGUAUUUUGGAGGUAUUUGGCAGAGAUUUUAAAAUAUGCAUAUAAUUUUAUUCAAUAGCUUAAGGCUAUUGACAUUUUGGGGUUGUAUGUUACAACCUGUGGUUAAUACUGUGAAACACCAAAUUGAACUGCGUGCCAUUUCCCAGCACAGGAUAAAGAUUUGAGUUGGGUUUUAAAAGCUGAGCCUUAGGGCAAAGGGAAGAGGCUAAGGAAAGUUUCAAAGGCAGGGAAGCACAGACUUAAACUGUGGUCCAUGUGGUACAUUGUUACCUGGAACUUAAGAGUGUAUGCAGGAAGACUUGGGGUGGGGAGAAAAUGGGGUGGAGGUUGGGAUGCUCAUUGGGAAAUUCGGUUCUAGACACAGGCUUAUUAGGAAUAGACUUCAAUGCCAGGUUAAGAAAAUGGAUUUAAUUCCAGAAAAAAUUUCAAAAUUCUAACCCUGAAAUGGGUAAAACAUGAAUGACUCCAUUAAAUAAAAUGUGGAAUGAAAGAGAAGAGAGAAAUGUUGGGAGUGUUUAGAAGCCUUUUUGAAUAUUAGGAAAAUCAUAAUAAAUCUUAAGAAAGACGGAUAGGCUGAUGCCAUGAUAAUUUUGAUUUUUACUGACCACUGCAAAUAUAGAAGAAAAUUUGCAAACUUAUAUCAGAUAAUGACCAAAAAAACUAUUUUCUUGCGAGUGCUCAUGAUUUUUGAUUGAUCAUUUGAACAUAUGGAAUAAUGUACUAUCUAAUUUCAGUGCCUUAACGACCCUUACAAAUCACAGAAUCUUGCUCCUGGCAUUGGAUAGUUUUUCCCAGAGCAGAUGCCCCUGAGCCUUGACGGUUUUCUCACUGUGACUUCUUAACUGCAUACAUUUUUAAGGUGGCGGAUUUGAGAAAAGAUGUGUGAUCCCCAAGACAGGCUUUUUGUUUUUUUUUUUAAUUUGCAAAGCCAACUGGCUCUUGGUUGGCUUUUUAGAUCAAGAUGAAGGAAUAAUUAAUAUGACACAAGUAGAUUUGAUGGUUGUUCUAUGCUGUCUUGGUCUCUCAUUUAUAACAAAUUAUAAAAGGGUAUAUAUAUUAAACCAAUAUUCGACUUUUUCCUUUUCACAAAUGAUUUUCUGGGUCAAUAGAGUUUGCAUAAAUGCAUCUCACUGCCACCUUCAGGAGUGAAAUUCAGGUUUAAUAUAUUCUACAUGAGGGCAGCGGGCAGCUGAUGAGCAAGUUGUUCUUAUUCCGUGUACCUUGAUAGGAUUCAACUUUGGCCUGGAGGAGGGGAAUUUGUUUUUCCAUGCAGGGCACUCCCAUGAGAGUUUCAGAAAAACAAUAUGCUCUUGUCAGAACAGAAUGCAGUUCUUCUAAAACUGGGAAUGAACUAUAUUUUACCCUUUAAAGGUCAGGAGAUGUUAUUAUGCAGCAAAUUUAGCCUAUGAUUUAUCUUAAAAUAAAAAGGCAUCAUCACAUAUAACCCUCACAAGAUCUGGGUAACGUUAAAAAUGAGAAUAAAUUUCAAUAACAAUACUAAUAGUAGCUCCUACGUUUUGGGCUCCUGUGUAUAAGAGAUGGCACUCAGCACUGUCUCUUACCUACUCUCCACAACAAGCCCACAGGCAGGUAUUAUUUUUUCGGUUUUAAGAUCCAGGAAUGGAAUUUUAUUCUUCCUCCAUCUUGAACUCAUGGCAUCGUUUUCACGACGGUUAUCUCUCUGACGUUUUCUGUGUCGACUUUUCUUUCCACUUUCAGAUCAUCCUUUUGUAGCCUUAGAUCAAACUAAUCCCUUCUUUGACCCGAAAUGUCGGUUUUGCUGAAAAUUCUCUUUCAGCCCUCUUCUUUCCUGUCCUUGAUCAUAACGUCUAAUCUUAGGCUAUCUAAUGGUACUGACCUUAAUUGCUCUCAGUCCAGGCAUCUCCCUUUCCUCAUGUCCCUGGUCCUCCUCUAUUAUAUAGUAAGUGCAGGUCAGAUAUCUGACCUGCAUAUUCUGCCAGGGUCCCAAGCAACAGCCAACACUAGACUCAAUAUCAUUCUGUCAAAACAAACUUUCCCUCUUGACAACACUAAUUCUGUUAAUGGCAGCAAUGUUCUCCCAGUCAGACCCUGGAGUCAUUUUGACAGUUUUUGUUCUUUACCUCCUAGAGCCACAGAGUCAUCAACUCCUGUGGCAUCACUGCCAGAAAUAUUUGCAACUACCUUUCCAACAUUCAAGACUCAAAUGUCAGUAACUGUUGCAUUUAAUUUAUAUAGCUCUUUACAAUAAAACAAGCUCCCACAGAUGCUAUUUCUUAUAAUGUCCACAUUAACCUCACAGAUACAAAAACUGAGGUUUCAGAAACGUAUGAGUUUUGCUACACAGUGUAGAAGCGAAGUGAGGACUUGAUCCAGGUCUUCUGAUUCCUGUUUUCCAGGUGCAAUACUUCAACAACUGCCCGUACCUUCAUGCCUGAGGUGCAGCUGCCUCAGACACCAUCUUUCCACUUGCUCCAAUGCAGCUUAUGUAAUCACUAAUAGUCACUGUCUAAUAAUCACUGUCAAAUGACAUCUUUUUUAAAACACAGAUCUGAUCACAUCAUUCUCAGCUCAAAACUCUGUCAGUAGCUUCUUAGACUGAAAAAUGUUCAGAUCACCUAAUCUGGCACUCUCCAGUUUGUUUCCAACACCAUUUUGGAACAUUGCUUCCCAUAUCCUCCCAUACUCCAGCCAAGCCGAACUAUUCUCAGGAGUUGUUUUGUUUUGUUUUGUUUUUGAGACCUGGAACACAGGCGCACAUCACCAUGCCUGGCUAAUUUUUGUAUUUUUUUGUAGAGAUGGAGUUUUGCCACAUUGUCAUGCUGGUCUCAAACUCCUGAGGCUCUACCUAUUCUCUUGUGUAGGCCUCCCAAAGUGCUGGGAUUACAGGCAUGAGCCACUGCACCUGGCUCUACUCUUAGUUUUUCAAAUAUGCUUGAAUCAUUUGCUUGCAUUCCUCCACUCAUGUCUUCUCUGCCUUUGAAAAUGCUGACUGUCCUUUAUUUUAUUCAUUAAUUAACACCAAAGCAUUGAUGGAGCAAUAGUGUAUGUCAGGGACCGGGCUAGGUAUGGAGAAAAGCCAGUGAAUAGGGCAGGUAGGAUCCAUUUCUCAAAGGGCUUAGGAUCCACUGGAAGCAUUAAGUUUCAGGACAAAUGCCAAAUGCCACACUCUCCACAAAAUAAUCCUGUUCCGAUACCCCCAGCAGGAAGUGAGAACUUCCUCUUCUCAAUAGCCAUAGUACAGUGAGGAAACCUCAUAGGAUUUAUCAUAAUCUGAUUGAAUUAUAGUUAUGGAGAUAUAUGUCUUAUCUCUCAUGCUACAUUAUGAGCUCCAUUUUUGAUAGGGACUCUAGGAAGCUCCCUAUGUAGCCCUCACAGCAUGUAAUGCAGCACUUCUCAUUCAAUAAGACCUCAAUAAACAAUAUUGGAAUAAAUAAUUUCUCUCAGCAUCUGUGAAUAUGAGGUUGGAGAGAGACUGCCGCAUGCCCCAUUCAUACACAAACAGCAGAGGACACGGUGAGCACACACUACUCCCACACACGCUCACCAGAUGGUGAACAUAACAUUAUUUUAGGCAACAGAACUGUCAGCUGACAUCCAGGGUCCCAUGAUACUUGCCUCCAUCCAUUCAAAGAGAUGUUUGAGACAGAAACUAAACCAAGAUUUCUGGAUAUCAGUGUGCAAGUCUGUUCAGAGAGUAAAUUUUUCUGUGUCAAUAAACAGAAGGCAGGAUUAAUAUCUCCAUAUGCCUGCUUUUCUGACCUCAGAACUAGGAGGAUGCUAUAUUCCCGACCAUGAUUUGGGAUUGCAUUUUUUCUUUAUGAAUUAACACAAUUUACAUACAGUUAUAUUUACUAUUUUUUGGUGUACAGGUGUAUGAGUUUUGACAAAUGCUUCUGUGUAACCACUACCACAAUCAAGACAGAAUAAUUUCCAUUGUCCCCCACCAAGAAAUUCCUCUUCAUGACACUUUUGUAGUCAAACUCUCCUCACCUUUAAUGCAAACCUCUUUCUCCAUCUGCAUGGUUCUGUUUUCUCCAGAAUGGUACGUAAAUAUAAAAGAACUUAGCUGUUUGAGUCUAGUUUUUUAAAUUAACAAAAUGUUCUUGACAUUCAACCCUGUUGUUGUACAUGUCAAUACUUUGUUCCUUUUUACUUCUGGACAUUGUUUCACUGCAUGAAUGUGUCACUGUUUGUUUAUUCAUUUACUAGUUGAGGGACAUUUGAGUUAUUUCCUAUUUUUGGAGAGUACGAAUAAAGCCACUAUAAAUAGGUUUUUAUGUUAUAGGUUUUCUUGUCACCUAGAUAAAUAGGAGUGGGACAGCCAGGUCAUAUGGUAAGUGAACAUUUAACUUUAUAAGAAACUGCCAAAAUAUUUUUACCUGUAAAGAAACUGUCAAAAUAUUUCCCAUGGUGUCUCUACCAUAUUUUGUAUCCUUGCUAGUAACAUAGUAGCAUUCCAGUUGCUUCACAUUCUUACCAACACUUGGUAUCGUCAGAGCUUUUUAAUUUUUUUUCUUUUUUUUUUUUUUUUNUUUUUUUCACUUUUUCUCUGCCAUUCUUAUUACGGAGUGUGGGAUGAAAUUUUAAAACUUAAUCUUUUUAGAACCAAAAUAUUUCUGCUUUAAUAUUCAGCCCACAUUCAGUUUUCCCUCCUCUCUCUUCAUUUGGUUCUUUGUAUUAGCUCUCCCACCAGACUAAAGGUUUCUUUGUGGGUAAGGAAAAACUCUUAGUCAUCUCUGUAUACAUGAAGCUCUGUCACCCCAUCCCAAGUUCAGGGAUUUUCCAAUAACACAUGCUACUUAAAUCAAUGCUUCUAUGUGAUCAGAUUAGAUUAACACAUACAGUGACACAAUUAACGUAUCCAAAGGCUAAUCUAGUAUUGCCUAAUUUUGUCAACUGUGGAAUACCAAAAGAAUUUUAGUAAAACUAUGCACUUUCUUCCCUUUUCAUGGAUUUUUCCAUUUUCAUUUAUAUGUCUGAAAAAACAGAUUUCUGUUUUCUUGCUUUACCAAGAGGUAAACUGAAAAAUAUAUUUGGGAUUGUUAAAUAUUUGUGUAGUAAAUUUCUUAUACAAAAGACAAGAUUGUUAUUACUGGCACUUAAGUAAGAGAUUAAGAAUUAUUAAUUAAUUAAUUAACUUCACAAAUUAGAUCACAUAUAUUUCAAUGUGUUUUUUAGGUGAGACAGAAGAAAUUACAGAGGGGACCUGACCUGUACAUACUAUUUGUCAAGCGAGUUAAGGCAAAAAGAGGUUGAGAGUCACUGAUAAAGACUCAAAGAGUCUUGAAAAUGGAAAGGUUCUCAGAAGAUGCAGAGGCCAACCUCCCACUUAUUGAAAGAACCCUGGCUAUAGCAUCUGUCUUCCACCAUUGGUAGGCUCACCACUUCAUACAGCACCAAUUCACACAUCCUUACAAGCAAGAGACUCAAAACAAAACAAAACAAUAAAUAAAAGAAACAUAGGGGAAGCAACUUCUUAACUGAACUUUCAUUUUUCUGUAACAUUAUACUAUAUAAACCUUCUGUAGCACCUACAGAAAUCUAAAAAUAUUGUUUAGAAUUUUUGUGGCAGAAAAUAAUUUUGUCACUACAUCAACCAGCCACAUGUGAGUUAAGCUCAUUAACUUUUAUAUUUCAGGAUGAUGCAUAGUUUGGAGAUAUGAGUUCAGUGUCUUAAAUGACAUGAAUCUUGGAACUUCUUUAUAUUAAUAUCUACUUCUUCUGAAACUUCAGUUUUUGAAUGGAAGUAAACCAACAACUUCUAGUUGUGUAUAGAAGAAAAUUUGUAUAAGUCUGUAGAAAUCUAUACAAGAAAAUUUCUUAAGCUUAUUUCAUGAGCAGCAUGGAUUACUUAUCUUCCAGUUGGAAGGCUUCCUGGAGAUCUUAAAAGCAAGGAACUUCCUGACUGCAAACACUUCUCCUUUUAUAGAUACAAAGCCUCCUCUGUGUUGGUUUUGUAUCAACUGUCACCUUACAUCUGAUGGAAACUCAUUCCCAGAAUUCCCUUUCCUAAAUUGUUCUUCAUUCCAGUCGGCUACAAGGGAAAUUUGUGUGACCUUUGGAAGGUAGAAGUGAAACAGCAGCAUUCUGCUCUGAAGGUCAGUGUAGUCAACAAGGUGCAGCUCACUGACUUCCCAGCUCACCUUGUCCAUGUCAGCCAGCAGCCAGGCUGCCAGACUUUUGGCUCCCCCCAGAUCUCCUCUUUCGGUUUCUGAGCCAGGUGCAUGAAUGUCUUUGCAGUGAAGAGUGCCAGUCCCUUUUGGGUUGUCCAGGUUCCAGUUUGCCCUUGCUCAGCUCUACUUCAGAUCCAGUUUUUCUUUCCGGUUGCCAUCUCUGCUAACCUGUGAUGACUUUAGCUCCAUACCAGAUGCGAAAGCCACUGCAAAGCUCCCACAAUUGUGUAAGGUCUAAAACUUAAAAGUAAAUCCAUUAUUCCAUAUUACCACAGUGGUUCUGCAUCUUUAAGUGAUAGGGAUUCCAUGAAAUCUUUUCUAUUCAGAAUACGUACUUGGCUACAAAUAUUCUUUUGUGCAUGCCUUUCUUUUUAAAAAUUUAUGAUAUUGUCAAAUGAAAUAGUACUAAUAUAUUGCACCUAAGUAUAUUUUUUAUUCUACCCUGUUUUGGGGAUAGGGACUUGGAAUAUGCUCUUUCACAUAAUUCUUCUUAAAACUGGUAAGCUGAGGAAUUGAGAGUUUGCUCCAUAAGCGGAGAAUACAGAAAAACUAACAAUUAAUUUGAACUUCAGAGUAAUAAUGAGUUAAAAAUCACCUGAGUGAACUAGCUUUUUCUUCGAAUUAUAUUUUAAUGUGACACUUGGAAAGUUAUAUCACUCAUGAUGAAAUCUAAACACUAAAAUUCUGAAAACACGCUGGGCAUGGCUCACAUCUGUAAUCUCAGCAUUUGGGGAGGUGAAGCUGGGAGGAUCACUUGAGCCCAGGACCAGCUUGGACAACAAAAUGAGAUCCCCUCCUCUAACAAAAAUCGAAACCAAUUUCAGUUAAUCCAUUUUUAUCAUAAUGUAUGUACACUGAGAAUAAAUAAAUACUGCCAUACAGCACUUCAACCUCUUUACUUAAAUUCCUACUGUUUUACAUAAUUUCUGAAGAUUUUAUGGUCUUUAAAGGCAGGGAUACAUCUUCUCAUUUUUACAUCCUCCCAUACUGGCACACAGAUAAGUCCUUAUUAAACAUCAACUGAACUAAGUAAAGAGCAAAUUUCAGCUUCCUGUUUUUUACAAAAAAGAAAAGAGCAGCAGGGUAUGAGCAAAUAACCACAACCAACUACAUCCUCUGAUGCUUUUCUCACUAUUAUAUAGAAACUCCAGCAGGAAACCACAGCUUUAUCCUUUUCACCACUAUAGCAAAAUCUUAUGAAUUGCUGGCAAACAUAAAACAUCUACACUGACAUCACAUAAAUGUUUGUGACAAUUAUACUCACCACACUCAAGGGCUUUAAAACAUCUUAACAGUAUUUCUCAGGGACAAAUUCCCAAGGAAAAAUAGUCAUAUACCUUUAGCCACAUGUUUGGAGUUUAAUUAUAUGAAAGAGCAGUAAGCACUAUCGAAACUUGACUCCCCUCUGAAUGUAGCUGUUUACAAAAAGCCCAAAAAUCUGAGAAGGGUUAAAGUUCCUCGUAUGACUCAGACUUACAAACAUUUCUAACAGACCAAAGAUGUAUUAACCUCUACUCCAAAAUCACAAAAGUACUAAUUUUUUCCUUGGUAUUCAAAACAACCCAAGAAUUACACAUUUCAGGCUAUGAAAUGUAGAAACCCCUUUUCUCCAUUCUCACACAUUAUGCAUUCGGAUGUACAGCAACACACAUUUUAAAUUUGUGACUUGAGCUUUGAUAAUGCGUUUUAUCAAUGAAGGGACCUUCCACUGAAGAUCCCUUAGUUGUCCAAGAACUACAAAGACAAGAUGAUGGCAGAAGUCCAGGACUUUCAUUCAAGGGCCUUAACUUCAAUAUGAAACACAGACACGUAUACUCAUUUUACACAGAAGUCAGAGGUCUAGAACUCUGUAGCUUUCUUGCAUGCCCACAUUACCUAGCCCAUAAGCUCUCCAUGGGGUGUUUGUUAAAUGACUACAUGCGUAAAUGAAUGAAGGCAUACAUGCUUGGUGAUGAUGAAGAAGGGGAGAGGAGAAGGGCUCCUUUGGGUUCCAACCAAGGCAGAAGAGGCCUAAAAUUCAGAAAAUAAGCCCAUGUAUGAAGAAAAAAAACAAGCAAGAGUUAAAAAAAUAAGUGGUGGGGCAUCAGAGCUAGAAUUGAUAUUAGGGAUUUCUGGACCAGCCCUCUCAUUUCUAGAGAGAACCUGGGGUGCUGUGGACAAUGACAUGACUUCAUGUACCACUUUCAGGAACUGUGACAUUUGCGUAUCCAUUUCAUGAUUUUAGCUUCAAGUGCUUCUUAUCUAAACCAUUUUUUUAACUCAAUAUUUUUCAUUAAAUUGACAUUAACUGGUACACUGGUUGAAAACAUUAGCCUAGUGCUAAAAAAUAAUAUCUGUGAAAUUACAGGUUUGAUGGACUGGGUAUAUUAUUUUUCAUAGCAUAUAUUUUUUAAGAUAUACUUUGAAAAGUGUUCCGACCAUAUUUCUACCUUUAAAUAAAUUCAUAAGUAUUAAAAUAAAAAGCAAAUGUGUAUACUACCUAAGACCCUCUCACAGGUCACUGUUGGAAAUCUGCACUUUGAGAAGCAGUGCGCUCUGAUGUGCUGCCUCCUGGAACAAACAGUUUGAAUUCUGAACUGACACAAGGUGGGAAAGACAUUCCAAAAUGAUUAAAAGGGUCCAGUAAUAAGACUAAUGCCUCUAGGUGACUUCAGUCAUUAUUUUUUUACUAAAAAAAAAAAACAAAAAACAAUUACUUACUAAGGAACUAAACAAAAAAAAUAAGGCAGAAAUCAUGGCUUUUUUUUUUUUUUUUCAGUUAGUGGAUUUGCACCUUCCAAAUGGACAGAUAGGGAUAUUCAUCCUCCUACCAAGAGUCAUUAAUUCAUUAGAACAUAGUUUUAAGAAGAUUUGUCUCAAAUGGGCCUCCUGUGCAUGGAUUACCUUUUUUUUUUUUUCAGUAUUCCAUUUGCAAUGAGAACACUUAGCUGUAAGCUAUAAUGAGGAAUUGCUUAACUUUCAUAAGUAAAUGAAUGUCUAUGACUAAAAUAUCAAUCACGGAAACACUAGUUCUAUAAAUAGUUUGUAGGUCCAAAGUCCAUAGGCAGUUAAACAAAGACACAUGUUUGUUUUUUCUUGUUUUUCUGUGUGUGUGUGAGUGUAUGUAUGUCUGUGGGUGUGCACGCACAUGUGACAUAUGAAACCCAUUUGAUUUUUCUUUUGAGAAACAAAGAAAUGUUGUUUGCUGAAUAUAUGUGUUAUCUGGUAUUUUGAUAAAAAGUUAUGUUUGCCAAUUUUAUCACCUAUGCAAUGAUCUAUAAAGUUUUAACCUAAAAUACCUGUCCUUGAACUCACCCUGUUUUUUUUCCUAAACGUCUUAUCGCUGAUUUAGAAACGCUCACAUUUGUUUUUUAAGCAACACAAGAUGAAAUCCAAGAUAGAAGACAGCAGUCCAUAAAAUCGCACUGAGUCCCUGCGUUUUGACCCCCUGUGAUUUGCAUCACCAACGGAAUCCUGCAGGGCAGCACAGUGGUGAAGCUCACGGCCAUUGAAGUUGGACAACUGAAUUCACACAGCCCCAUUACCAUCUGUGGGACUUUGGGCAAGUUCUGUUAUCUAUUUCCUCAUCUCCAGAAUGCGGAAUUAUUAAUGUGCUCUUUUUUAAUAGGACAAACCUCAGAGAUUUCUUUAAAAGAGAAGUGGUUUUAGCAAGAUGCCACUGGCAGAGAAGCCUGAAGAAUAAAUUUUUGAAGUAUUUAAAUAUAUCUGUAGUCUAGCCUUCACCAUUUCCUUUGGAAAGUAGAUGGAUACAUAUGGAGACAUGUUUUAGGUACUCUUAUGCUCCAGAAUCAAGAUGGCAAAAUGCCUCAAGUGGUUUUUUGUUUUUUUUCUUGUUCCUUCUUUAAUGAAUUUUGAACCCUCUUCCCACAUGUGUUUACUUGGUCUUUCAUUCUUUUCCACUCAUCGUUAAAUCUACAACAGAGGUUCCAUCUCUUUUCUUUCAUUGCCCCUACACCAGCAGCCUCUGGGCUCCGAGGCAAAGAAGGAGACUCCCAGCCAGGGCAAAUACACAGAGAUAGAAUCACUUGCCAGGCAUUCCAGAGGCAUAAAUUACCACUUAAACUUCCAAGGUUGAAGCCCUGGAGAGGGAGACCAAGGGAGAGUGGUAGAGUACCUCCUUAGGAUAAAAUAGCAAGAAGGCAUGGGGUAUUUCACAGAGCAGCUAUGUAAACAGCUGAGUAUCUACAGUAUCAUUGGAAUGGGUACAUUCCCCAAUAGUGAUCUAACUCAAGAUCACCCCCCAAAGGUGGAAGGGCUUCCUGAGAGUCUAAGCAAUUAACUAAAACAGUGGCCCUUAAACAGUCUUAAAAUACAACUGGUGAGCAAAGAUAAAGUACCAAUGACAGCAAAUUAUUUAUUUAAAGCAUAAUUUAGAGGAGUUUUCCCUAAUGAAUUAUACUAAACUCAAAAAUCAAGUUAUUUCUAUCAUAAUGUCACUCUCACUUAUCUCACUGGCACAUGUGGAUGUUUUUUUUUGAAUAGAAAAAAAUAGAAAUGAAGUUACACUGAGGUUCUGGUAUACUCAUGAGAAAGAAAUUUCCUGUAGUACACAGACCAGCAGAAACUUAGAAGAAUUCUACAUCUUAUAUCUGUUCCAUUUUUGUCACUUCUGCUACCCUCUGCUUCUUAGUUGUUUUUAGCAGAAUUAAGUUGGAAAUGCAUGUGUCUGUGAUUUUAUUUUCUAUAUCAAGGAAGUGGAGUAUGGGAAAGAUGUAUAGUUUUCAAGCUAGCCUGGCGGGGAGGAAAGGAACCCAGGUGUGGCAAGCAGGUGGUGAAGCUGUGAAGAGGAACGGAAAUGAAGCUGAACUGCUUGGCAUACGGGAAGGAAGAAAGAGGUCCAGGGCUGCUUGGUUAGGACAGGGGAGGUACCCAGGUUGUUAGGCUACCGGGGGAAUUCUCUGAGAUCGUGACCAGGAAAAGAGCCCAUUCUAAUUUUGUUGAACUAUAUUUAUUACUGAGCUUAUUCCCGUCAUCUGGGAAUUAGUUGAGAGUUCAGACUAUGUUUUAUUCAAUUUCGAGUCCCUAGCACACAGAACAGGGUUUAAUAUAUAUGUCAAGUGCUCGAUACAGAUUUAUUAAAUGAUCCAAAGAAUUCACCUUCUCUAAACCAGGACCUUCUGCCAACCCCAUUUCACAUCCUAUCUCUCACCUCCUAAAUAGAUUCCUAUUUCCAGUUGGAAGAAAGCUUUGAUUCAAUUUGCAAAGUAGAAGGAACUGACAUACCUUCAAUCCAGUCCAGCUCAGGUUAUUAAUUUUUUCCCUCCUUGGAGACUCACACUUCACCACUCAAAAGCCACAAACCCCAGAGGGAGGAUCUCUUAAAAACCCAUCAUUAUAGUUCUAAACAUCAAAAUAGCCACCAGGGGAAUAGCAGAACAGUUUCUUCAUAAAAGAGCCUAAACAUUUCAGUGAACUAAAUUUGUGUUCUAAAUGGCACUUUCAUAACUAUCUCUCAAGACUUUUACGCCUAUGGUCUUUUAUAUAUUAUCAAUUCAUUUCAGGUGACAGGACACCAGAUACUUAAACACGGCUACCAUUCUAUAAGGAAAUGCCACUCUCUCCAAAGAAAGCGUGGAGUCGAUCUGCCACUGUGCCCUCUGUUAGUUUCAAUUGGUACUAUUCUUGGCACUGUCUUCUCGGAGUGAAGCUGCUGAAGCACCGACACUUUAGGAUUAAUAAUUAGAUGAGAGGAUGUUUUUAGAAGUAAAGUAGGAGGCACAAAGUGGGGGUGGUAUGUAGCGAAGUGUGGUGAGGAAGGAAAGUGGCAGCAGAAGUUAAGAAGACAUGAGGGAUUUCAGAGUGCUACGAAGACAGCUUUCCCUACCGAAGAGAUCUGCCUAAGUUUCCCGUCGUGUUGCCUCAAAAGGGCAUUUGUCUUUAUUUGCAACAUGAAUAAAUCAACCCUGAUGUGGUCACCUUAUUUUUUAGCCGUAUUAACAGAGCAGUUCUACACAAUCAAGUGGCCAGACUGCAGUGAUCUGCCUAGCCUCCGAGAGAGGUUGCAAACACAGCUUACUGCAAUCAUUAACUGAGCAUUUCUAGACUAUGAAGGAACAGAAGAUGGGAUAUGAGUUGAUACUACUCCUGAAAGUUUAUCUCAACUGCUGGGACUGCUAAAUAAAAUGCAGCAUCGCUUGAAAGAUUGAGAUAUACUCUGAGCUUUCGGGAAGCUAUGCAAGUUUGGUCUAUAUGUAAAAAGUUAUACAUAAGAUAAAGAUAUGGUGCAUUUAAAAAUACAUAAAACAAUCCAAUGUGAGAUCUCAGUCAUUGAUCUUUAAGGUAAAGAAAAAAUAAAUUACCUUAUUGUUAAAACUGCUAAUGUCUUUUAUUUGCCACUGGUGGUACAGUAAAAAGCAAGCAAGUACACAGAUGAAAACCUCUGCUAUUCUUUAACAGACCAGGUUAACUCAAUUUUUAUUCAUUAAGCUUUCACGGAGUCUACAUAUUUUGAUGUUUGCAAUUUUUUAGACCCUCUCUAUGGUUCAUGGGAGUUAACUAUAUUUGGUACCAUUACCUUUCUGCAUUGUAGACACAUCAAUUUCAUAAGUGUGGUCAUAGCAUUUUGGAGCUCAAUGGUAUUUAGAGAACACCUAAGUAGUCCAGACUUUACAGAC
Cebus imitator (Panamanian white-faced capuchin) is the source of this 18036-nucleotide long non-coding RNA. RefSeq lists it as uncharacterized. The transcript has 2 exons. The record is from RefSeq and is a predicted model, not a curated record. NCBI's taxonomy places the organism in Eukaryota, Metazoa, Chordata, Mammalia, Primates, Cebidae.